GGGUUGUGAGGUUAAGCGACUAAGCGUACACGGUGGAUGCCCUGGCAGUCAGAGGCGAUGAAGGACGUGCUAAUCUGCGAUAAGCGUCGGUAAGGUGAUAUGAACCGUUAUAACCGGCGAUUUCCGAAUGGGGAAACCCAGUGUGUUUCGACACACUAUCAUUAACUGAAUCCAUAGGUUAAUGAGGCGAACCGGGGGAACUGAAACAUCUAAGUACCCCGAGGAAAAGAAAUCAACCGAGAUUCCCCCAGUAGCGGCGAGCGAACGGGGAGGAGCCCAGAGCCUGAAUCAGUGUGUGUGUUAGUGGAAGCGUCUGGAAAGGCGCGCGAUACAGGGUGACAGCCCCGUACACAAAAAUGCACAUGCUGUGAGCUCGAUGAGUAGGGCGGGACACGUGGUAUCCUGUCUGAAUAUGGGGGGACCAUCCUCCAAGGCUAAAUACUCCUGACUGACCGAUAGUGAACCAGUACCGUGAGGGAAAGGCGAAAAGAACCCCGGCGAGGGGAGUGAAAAAGAACCUGAAACCGUGUACGUACAAGCAGUGGGAGCCUCUUUAUGGGGUGACUGCGUACCUUUUGUAUAAUGGGUCAGCGACUUAUAUUCUGUAGCAAGGUUAACCGAAUAGGGGAGCCGAAGGGAAACCGAGUCUUAACUGGGCGUUAAGUUGCAGGGUAUAGACCCGAAACCCGGUGAUCUAGCCAUGGGCAGGUUGAAGGUUGGGUAACACUAACUGGAGGACCGAACCGACUAAUGUUGAAAAAUUAGCGGAUGACUUGUGGCUGGGGGUGAAAGGCCAAUCAAACCGGGAGAUAGCUGGUUCUCCCCGAAAGCUAUUUAGGUAGCGCCUCGUGAAUUCAUCUCCGGGGGUAGAGCACUGUUUCGGCAAGGGGGUCAUCCCGACUUACCAACCCGAUGCAAACUGCGAAUACCGGAGAAUGUUAUCACGGGAGACACACGGCGGGUGCUAACGUCCGUCGUGAAGAGGGAAACAACCCAGACCGCCAGCUAAGGUCCCAAAGUCAUGGUUAAGUGGGAAACGAUGUGGGAAGGCCCAGACAGCCAGGAUGUUGGCUUAGAAGCAGCCAUCAUUUAAAGAAAGCGUAAUAGCUCACUGGUCGAGUCGGCCUGCGCGGAAGAUGUAACGGGGCUAAACCAUGCACCGAAGCUGCGGCAGCGACGCUUAUGCGUUGUUGGGUAGGGGAGCGUUCUGUAAGCCUGCGAAGGUGUGCUGUGAGGCAUGCUGGAGGUAUCAGAAGUGCGAAUGCUGACAUAAGUAACGAUAAAGCGGGUGAAAAGCCCGCUCGCCGGAAGACCAAGGGUUCCUGUCCAACGUUAAUCGGGGCAGGGUGAGUCGACCCCUAAGGCGAGGCCGAAAGGCGUAGUCGAUGGGAAACAGGUUAAUAUUCCUGUACUUGGUGUUACUGCGAAGGGGGGACGGAGAAGGCUAUGUUGGCCGGGCGACGGUUGUCCCGGUUUAAGCGUGUAGGCUGGUUUUCCAGGCAAAUCCGGAAAAUCAAGGCUGAGGCGUGAUGACGAGGCACUACGGUGCUGAAGCAACAAAUGCCCUGCUUCCAGGAAAAGCCUCUAAGCAUCAGGUAACAUCAAAUCGUACCCCAAACCGACACAGGUGGUCAGGUAGAGAAUACCAAGGCGCUUGAGAGAACUCGGGUGAAGGAACUAGGCAAAAUGGUGCCGUAACUUCGGGAGAAGGCACGCUGAUAUGUAGGUGAAGCGACUUGCUCGUGGAGCUGAAAUCAGUCGAAGAUACCAGCUGGCUGCAACUGUUUAUUAAAAACACAGCACUGUGCAAACACGAAAGUGGACGUAUACGGUGUGACGCCUGCCCGGUGCCGGAAGGUUAAUUGAUGGGGUUAGCGGUAACGCGAAGCUCUUGAUCGAAGCCCCGGUAAACGGCGGCCGUAACUAUAACGGUCCUAAGGUAGCGAAAUUCCUUGUCGGGUAAGUUCCGACCUGCACGAAUGGCGUAAUGAUGGCCAGGCUGUCUCCACCCGAGACUCAGUGAAAUUGAACUCGCUGUGAAGAUGCAGUGUACCCGCGGCAAGACGGAAAGACCCCGUGAACCUUUACUAUAGCUUGACACUGAACAUUGAGCCUUGAUGUGUAGGAUAGGUGGGAGGCUUUGAAGUGUGGACGCCAGUCUGCAUGGAGCCGGCCUUGAAAUACCACCCUUUAAUGUUUGAUGUUCUAACGUUGGCCCCUGAUCGGGGUUGCGGACAGUGUCUGGUGGGUAGUUUGACUGGGGCGGUCUCCUCCUAAAGAGUAACGGAGGAGCACGAAGGUUGGCUAAUCCUGGUCGGACAUCAGGAGGUUAGUGCAAUGGCAUAAGCCAGCUUGACUGCGAGCGUGACGGCGCGAGCAGGUGCGAAAGCAGGUCAUAGUGAUCCGGUGGUUCUGAAUGGAAGGGCCAUCGCUCAACGGAUAAAAGGUACUCCGGGGAUAACAGGCUGAUACCGCCCAAGAGUUCAUAUCGACGGCGGUGUUUGGCACCUCGAUGUCGGCUCAUCACAUCCUGGGGCUGAAGUAGGUCCCAAGGGUAUGGCUGUUCGCCAUUUAAAGUGGUACGCGAGCUGGGUUUAGAACGUCGUGAGACAGUUCGGUCCCUAUCUGCCGUGGGCGCUGGAGAACUGAGGGGGGCUGCUCCUAGUACGAGAGGACCGGAGUGGACGCAUCACUGGUGUUCGGGUUGUCAUGCCAAUGGCACUGCCCGGUAGCUAAAUGCGGAAGAGAUAAGUGCUGAAAGCAUCUAAGCACGAAACUUGCCCCGAGAUGAGUUCUCCCUGAGACUUUAAGUCUCCUGAAGGAACGUUGAAGACGACGACGUUGAUAGGCCGGGUGUGUAAGCGCAGCGAUGCGUUGAGCUAACCGGUACUAAUGAACCGUGAGGCUUAACCUUACAACGCCGAAGGUGUUU
RNAcentral lists this ribosomal RNA (2932 nucleotides) under Escherichia coli. RNAcentral describes it as "bacterial LSU rRNA". It matches the Rfam family "Bacterial large subunit ribosomal RNA". Lineage: Bacteria; Pseudomonadati; Pseudomonadota; Gammaproteobacteria; Enterobacterales; Enterobacteriaceae. The record is from RNAcentral.